GACGAACGCUGGCGGCGUGCCUAAUACAUGCAAGUAGAACGAUGAAGGAGGAGCUUGCUCCUCUGGAUGAGUUGCGAACGCGUGAGUAACGCGUAUGUAACCUGCCCGGUUGCGGGGGAUAAAUAUUGGAAACGAUAGCUAAUACCGCAUAACAGUAGAUGUUGCAUGACAUUUACUUAAAAGGUGCAAUUUCCUCACUACCAGAUGGACCUGCGUUGUAUUAGCUAGUUGGUGGGGUAACGGCUCACCACGGCGACGAUACAUAGCCGACCUGAGGGGGUGGUCGGCCACACUGGGACUGAGACACGGCCCAGCAUCCUACGGGAGGCAGCAGUAGGGAAUCUUCGGCAAUGGAGGGAAGGCUGAACGAGGAACGCCGCGGGAGGGAAGAAGGGUUUCGGAGCGUAAAGCUCUGCUGUAAGAGAAGAACGAGAGUGAGGGUGGAAAGUUCACACUGUGACGGUAUCUUAACAGAAAGGGACGGCUAACUACGUG
RNAcentral lists this ribosomal RNA (495 nucleotides) under uncultured bacterium. RNAcentral describes it as "partial 16S ribosomal RNA". It matches the Rfam family "Bacterial small subunit ribosomal RNA", at positions 28 to 507 of the family's 1533-position model. The record is from RNAcentral.